AUGAACGCUGGCGGCGUGCCUAAUACAUGCCAGUCGAGCGAACAGAUGAGGAGCUUGCUCCUCUGACGUUAGCGGCGGACGGGUGAGUAACACGUGGAUAACCUACCUAUAAGACUGGGAUAACUUCGGGAAACCGGAGCUAAUACCGGAUAAUAUAUUGAACCGCAUGGUUCAAUAGUGAAAGACGGUUUUGCUGUCACUUAUAGAUGGAUCCGCGCCGCAUUAGCUAGUUGGUAAGGUAACGGCUUACCAAGGCAACGAUGCGUAGCCGACCUGAGAGGGUGAUCGGCCACACUGGAACUGAGACACGGUCCAGACUCCUACGGGAGGCAGCAGUAGGGAAUCUUCCGCAAUGGGCGAAAGCUUGACGGAGCAACGCCGCGUGAGUGAUGAAGGUCUUCGGAUCGUAAAACUCUGUUAUUAGGGAAGAACAAAUGUGUAAGUAACUAUGCACGUCUUGACGGUACCUAAUCAGAAAGCCACGGCUAACUACGUG
Molecule: ribosomal RNA, 496 nt
Filed under: uncultured bacterium
Lineage: Bacteria
Description: partial 16S ribosomal RNA
Rfam family: Bacterial small subunit ribosomal RNA
Source: RNAcentral